RNAcentral lists this ribosomal RNA (466 nucleotides) under uncultured bacterium. RNAcentral's name for it is "bacterial SSU rRNA". It matches the Rfam family "Bacterial small subunit ribosomal RNA", at positions 338 to 795 of the family's 1533-position model. The record is from RNAcentral.
CCUACGGGUGGCAGCAGUAGGGAAUCUUCCGCAAUGGACGAAAGUCUGACGGAGCAACGCCGCGUGAGUGAUGAAGGUUUUCGGAUCGUAAAGCUCUGUUGUUAGGGAAGAACAAGUGCCGUUCAAAUAGGGCGGCACCUUGACGGUACCUAACCAGAAAGCCACGGCUAACUACGUGCCAGCAGCCGCGGUAAUACGUAGGUGGCAAGCGUUGUCCGGAAUUAUUGGGCGUAAAGCGCGCGCAGGCGGUUCCUUAAGUCUGAUGUGAAAGCCCACGGCUCAACCGUGGAGGGUCAUUGGAAACUGGGGGACUUGAGUGCAGAAGAGGAGAGCGGAAUUCCACGUGUAGCGGUGAAAUGCGUAGAGAUGUGGAGGAACACCAGUGGCGAAGGCGGCUCUCUGGUCUGUAACUGACGCUGAGGCGCGAAAGCGUGGGGAGCAAACAGGAUUAGAUACCCGCGUAGUC